This 873-nucleotide long non-coding RNA is filed under the name Homo sapiens (human). RNAcentral describes it as "long intergenic non-protein coding RNA 2744". Lineage: Eukaryota; Metazoa; Chordata; Mammalia; Primates; Hominidae. The record is from RNAcentral.
GGAGGAAUGGGAGAGGAGCUUUCCACUCCUCUGAGAGUCAUGUCGAGAGUCUGUCUUAGCCCUCGACCCCUCAGUCUUUGUAGAUCUCAUCCCAGAACCCCGAGGGAGAGGUAAUUGCUGAAGGAUUUUUGCUUCAAACAGGCUCUUGUUUGCAUCAAGUGUGGGGUGCAGCAAAGUGGACUCGGGACUGGCCGAUGUCUGGCCAGAAAUGCCAGGCAAGGGAAACAGUGACUCUAGUGGGGUCAGGAGAGGGGCAUCUGCUGGCCCAGGAGCGCAAGGCAGAGGGACUUCAUUGUCCCCCUUAUAGGUGAGGCGACUCUGAGGCAGGAGGUCCAAGUUUGCUGGACAAUGGCAGAAACAGAAUUCAAACACCUGUCUUCUAGGAGAAGUUCUGGUCUCUCCUCGGUGCUGCGGCUGCCCCGGGAAGAGUUUCCAGGAGCUGACAAGCAUUCAGAUGAGUAAAGAUGGGAUCGGAUUGAGAAAAGGAGAAGGGAGAGCAUAUUCGUUCUCUUUCCACCUCCCUCCCACAGCCUUUCAUGCUGAUCUCAUCUGACGAAGCUGCCUCCUCCUCCCUGGACUCUACAAGCCCCUGUCAUGAUGUUUCUCAGAUCCUGAAUUCCAGCGAAACAGAUGAUACUAACAAGUUUGAAGACCCCCACAGAGGAAUGGAAUCAGUAUGAGAACACAGUUUCUUCAUCUCCCUGUCCCAGAACUUCACCCUGGACUCCUCGACCAAUCAACAAUCUCCACACUUCGGCCCACUCCAAAACUCCUAAAAUCCCAAGCUCCAAACUCCUCUGGGAGAUGGAUUUGAGGCUUCCUCCCGUUUCCUUGUGUGGAAGCCCUGUCAUUAAACCUCUUUCUCUGCUGCAA